UUCCAAAUCGCAGAGUUAAUUCAAAAGCCUAGGUGUUAUUACUGAGCUGCUGCUCUUUUUUCUCUAAUUCCCUUCUCAGAUCCUCCGACUACUCCUCCUUAUCCUACUCACUCGAAGUUUCGUUGGUCAUUUAUUGUUUUUUUAGCCUCUUUGACAAAGUUAGUAAGAAGAAAAACCUCGAUCUUUACUUCACACAAUCUCGAUUUGAAUUAUCAUUUGGUGAACCGGGCAUCUCGGACAAAGACAAUAACAAGAAGAGAUGGGAAGACCCUUCGCGGUCCUGCUCCCUGGUCUCUACCUUGCUUACCGCCCCUCGUAGGGGCCAGCGUACCCAUACCGAAAACGAUUUACUCUUUUUAUGGGCGCUUUCGACUAGGCUCUCGUUAAGGAAUCAGCCCAAACAAGAUCGAGAUUCCCGCGAGAAUUGCUACGCUGCCUGCAGUGAAAUUGCAAGAAUCACUUUAUACGCUAUUUCGAAAUCGAAUGAAUUGAGCAACUGUAUUUCCCCAGGUUUCCAUUGGAAAAGGGGUUUUUUUUGUAUGCAAGUGAUGAUCGAUUGGCGGAGAAGCCGCUCCCGUGUGGGGUGGCCGUGAGAAUGAUUCCGAGUCUUCCUGACCAGACCCAUGUGGAACUUGUAAAUAAAUAGGUUUGUAAGUGCCUAGCUGAGUAAUAAGAUAAGUACCUUUGCUAAUAAUCCAAAACCUUUCAUCUUCUCUUUCUAGAUAUAGCAGCCUACCCAUAUUGAUAGUGGAAUUAUUGAUCUCCUCUUUCGGAUAGCCCAUUUUGAAUAAGUGUUAUGGGUAAGGGCUUGACCUACCAGUUGAAUGGAAUCUACCGUUCUUUAUGCUCUCGCUAGCUUUGAACUUGUUUGUACCAGUAAUCAAACCCAGAAUCUCAUUUCCCAUUGCUUUCAUCGCAUAGAGCCAGAUGCCGCAUCCACAGGCCUAUUUAGUAAGUGGGGGUGUAUCCUUGGUGACACUUGAGAAAUAAUCCUAUACUUCCAAUAACCCACUACUUCCUCCACGGAUGGUACAUGGCAGGCAUCUGCCGGAACUAGAGGCGAGCACUUUUCAAUCAAUUACGAGAGGCAUUCUCUUCUCUGAUCUUUAAUAAGCGAAGCAACGAGCCUAGUAGGGGAAAUACCUUCCUCAGGAAUGUCAUCAAAGCCAGGUUCUCCAAUCGUAAAAGGGAAUAUUCCAUGGAACAAGGGUUGUUUUUAGGUGCUGUCCUCGGCAGACCACCACAAAAGGUCCGAAUCAGGCGAAACUUCUUUUGGUGCCAGCGAGAAGUAGUAACAAGAACUCCUCCUCUGUUCAAUAUCAGCCUGGUUUAGGUCUAGGUCAUAAUGAAUUUUCUGAUACCUUCCUUCGUCCAUAGAUCAGCGUUAUGCUUCUGUCCCGUGAUGAAGAAGGAUAGAAGAAUGGUAAGAUAGGAUCGUAUUAGUGAGCCGUGGGAAAAGAGUUUUUUCGUACCUUGAUUGGACCCACCCAAAAGCAACAGGAAUCCCUUUCUCCUCCUAUAAGGAAAUCUCGUCGUUUCACUCUUCUUCAAGUACCAUCGGAUUAGUCAACUCAAACGCUGAGAGAUUACUAUAGAACCAAGGCGGCUUUGAGGCUGGCUCCACUCUCCAAAUAGAGCAGUUACUUCGUUGACGACAAGAACCCCAUUUCCACUAGCCAAAGAGCAAUUCAUUUCUUCGACUCGAUGCCUCCUCAUUUGCUCCCAUUCCCAUAUUAAUAACAGAAUUAGGGAAAUGCGAGGGAAAAGAAUGCCAAAAGCAUUUAGAGAUUUUACUGGGAUUCGUUCUGGCUCAGAUGGCGAGGGAUUGCUAUAACUAUUUUUAGAAGCAUUAAUGAGAUCUCUUUUUUUCUUCAUAAGCUUGCAUCAUGAAUCCCACUUCCCACUUUACCUGCCUCUUUAGUAGUCUCACAUCUCGGUUUAAGAAAGUGCUCGCUAUAUUCCCAUACCUUCCUGUGCUUAAUACCUAGCUUCAAAGAGCCCACUCUUUUAUUUAAUAGCCGAGAGGCAUGAACGGUUGGGAAAAACCCUCUCCUGUGUGGGUCGUAAGAGUCGAUUAUCCAAGCGAGACCUUAGAGGGGAGGACACACCAUAGCACCCAUUGGUAGACUAGACUCCGGAGCUUCAAACAAACUUACAGUAAGCCUAAUCAAAGCAGGCGCCCUCACCUCCUUCUUCACCGCCGGCGUCUACGGUUUGGGUGAAGGUAUCAGCUCUGAUACCAUGUGUGAUAAAUUCUUCCCAUUUUCCUGUGAUAGUCAAUAAACACAACCCUUACGUAUCCGUAUUUUGUAAUCACCUUUCCCUUCCCGUCGCUUCCUUAUACUAGAAUUCUGAUGACGCGUGCAACCCCGGCUACUUCGCUACCCUACUAUUAACAAUUACGGAGUUUCGAUUGUUUAUCCAAUGCAGCUUAAUAUGGUUAUGCCAGCAAGGAGCAUGAACUGAAGCUAGUUAUUUACUUAGAAGAGGAAACGGCUAGUCAGCAGAGCAGCGCAGCGGAGUCAUCAUAUUAUCAUAUUCUUGAGUCUCUCCCCACGGGAUGACCGCUUCCACCAGACUCUAUUUCUAUUGGUUCACCUUAGAUUUCUUGGUUGUCUACAUCCGUCUAAUCCUUAUCUAUAAGAACAUAAUCGCUAAGCUAUGGAUGCUUCGGCCGCACUCUCUACUCAGCUAUCUGUUUCUACUGCGUUGCGUUUUGGAGGCCCGAUACAAAAGAAAGUGGCCUUCCUUAUUAGUAGUGAUGGAGACGUCAGGUCCGAGAAGGAAUAACCUAAAGCCAGUGAUAGAAUCUGUACAACCGGCAGGAGCGAUUGAUCAGAUAUCGCAUACAUGCUUAUAAGCUGCUAAUUCUCACACAAUUAGCAUAUAAGGAGAAUAACGUAAAGCUAGUCAAUGCGUUCAGCACUUUCACUUUCCGUACAUACCUUGAUGGGAAGGAAAACUCCACUUCGGAUGGGUUAAAGGUUUUCCAAUUAUGCCUUGCUUACGUUCUCAACUGGAUCACUUUAAUAUCGUUCGACUCAUUGUCAUCAGAGAAAGAUGUGCCGUAGGAGAAUUGACUUCGGAUCAGAGCAGGAAUCGAAACCAAGGAAAAGCUUCAUUCCCGUGCGGUUUCAUUAGUACUACAUCUAUAGGCCACUACUUCACCACUUCACUGGAAAGUGCAUUCUCAAUUGUAGCAAAGUUUCGUAACCACUAAAGCGCAUUCUCUCCUUUACUCUUAUUCCGGCAUGGAUCCCGCUGAAGCAUCUAGUUUUUGGUCAUUUCGCUUUUCGUGCCGGCCUGUAUUCGGAGUUUCUUGGAUUUGCGGUGCCUGAAUACCUUUCUCCUUCUUUUUGGUGACGUCGGAUGCCCGCCUUUGGCGCUCAGAAGUGGAUUCUCCUUCAAAGAGGGCUUUUCCCCUAAGAAAGGGACAUGGUUGUAUUGGAUUUCUAGUCCUAUAGUGGAAGAGCAGAUAGGAUCACACCUACACGUAAGUUCGUUCGUUGGGUUAGUGGCCACCCGCACUCCAACCUAUCUAUAUGGCAACAAAGCGAAUGACAAGGCCAAAGUAGCUGACUCUUAUCGCUAACUUAACUCGGUCUAAGGGCGAGCUUGAAUACAACUCACAGAACGACUCCUCCAGGGGCCUUCAGGCACUCAAACAGAUAGUGAGACAGACACCAUCUAUAGAACUUGAAUGACAAUACACCCAUAUAUUCUAGCUAACAAUCAGAAACUGUAUCCAAAUGGAGGGGACACUCUUCCUUCAGAAAGAUGCCUUCGAAAGAAAAGCUCUUCCCCUCAACGACACAGCACAUUUUCUCAAAUGUUCCACGUUUCUCACCAUAUCCUCAUAGGGCUGAAGCACAAGAAAGAGGAUUACUUGGUUACCUUGCUUCCCUCGCCUAGGACAGUAGAAGGAUCUGUGGCCGAAGGCGCCACAAACGAAGCGGGUCGCCUCUUUUCUGCAGAUCUCCUCAAGAUGACCCUUCUCCCCGCAACGAUAGCACAUAACGUUUUUCCCAUGCUUGCGCGGUGAGGAGGACGAGGCCUUGAGAAGCUUUUCCACCAUUUUUCCCCUUUGGCAUUUGGAUCCAUGUUUUCUUUAACGAUCUCCGUGAUAGUAAAGGUUUUUUUGGUAGCCUUUGCUUUUGACGGCGAUGAAAGAAAGAGAACCCCUCCUAUCUUUUGAUCGUGGUCAAAAUCCUAUCCAAGUCCCCUUUUUUAAGAUCUUUCUCCUGGUUUUGAUCAUCACCGUUCACCUACUUGUUACGGAGAUCCCGACCAAUGCACAAUCCAGAUUUUUUUAGCUUUUUUUCUCCCAUCCCAUCUUGGACGGGCCCAGAAGCUUUUCUCAUGUUUGAAUGGAGGUCUUCCGCAAAUGAAUUUCCAUAUAGAAAUUAUAUAAUGUGCCUGCAGAUAUUGAUUGAAAGCUUGUUUCAAUUGAACGAGGAUGUGAACGAGAAGGCAACAAAAGGGAGCUUGGAGCAAGAGGAGUCAUUUAGUAGUUCACGAAAAAAGGCAUAGUAGAGAAAGGCGGACCAGGCAAUCUCAGAGUGGAAAUCGACACCAUUCAUCCAUCUAUCUCUGCAUCCGGGCUCGCCUCCACUAUUGUUCCGGGUUGAUGAAAGAUCCAACUCCAGAAACCAUACCUACUUCCUGCUUUCGAAAGUGCUUGCUUGCUGACGGGCAUCCCGGUGGGAUGUCUUACCCUCCCUCGAGUCCGAUCUCGGGAGGGCGCUUGGGCUUUUUUUAUUCCCAGGUGUCCGUUUUAUAAAUGCGUAUCGUGAUCCUAGUAUCGGGCUAGGAUUGGCUCUGGUCUAAAACAAGCUUGACCUAAGAACCGCCCUUAAGCAAGGCAGGCAUACGCGCACCUAUAUGUCAAGAUACCUAUUAAGAUUGAAAAAAAGGAAAUCUUUAACAUGCGCAUAAGGAUAGAAGGCAGCUAUCUCUUCAGGGGCAUUGCAAAACAGCGUCUACUCCAAUUGAAGAAGUCCAUUCUAUGGUCAACCUUGUGGCUCCAAACUAGCACUGAUCCUCAGGAGUGAUGCCUCCUCUCGUCAAAAGUCGGUAUAUACAUGUUCUUGGAAGCAAAGAAAGAAUCUCAUGUAUCAGAGCGGAUACGAUAAUCAGUCGUGCAUAUUAUUAUCAUAUAUAAAUAAAACGAGAUGAGUGGGAUUGAGGAAGAAGGGGAGAGUAAUGGAAGCUGCUUUAGAGAAGGAAAUCCGAAGCAUUACGAGAUCAAAAGAGCUGAGAAUGAGUCGUCAAAUAAGCUCUACGUUAAGAGAAUGGUGGAAACCAGCGCGCAAACUUCAUUCUCUCCUAGGAUGCAUCAUGGGAAAAUCUCAAGACGAUAUAGUGAUGUCGCUUAUCCUACUACAAAGAUUAGGGCUAAUGGAGUAGGAUUCUUAAAAUAUCUACCAAAAAAAGAGAACUUAUAUAAAUAUAAGAAAAUGAGACAGUAAUGAGGUCCAUAUCGUCAUCGUAAUAAAAAGAAAGAUCUGCAAGCAUUCUUUAUGGGAGUCGGGGCUUUCUGAUUUGAAGUUGCUGGAAAAGGACCUGUGUGAUCGGUUGAUCAUUAGUCGUUUUUUUUUCAGGUAAGUAGGCAGGGGUGUCUUGAUCGAAACCGAACUUCAAUUCCACCCAGCUCAGAUUCUACGCAGCAGUGGGGAAGACCUGUUUAUACUUUUUUUGAGAAUUCCAUUCCUGAUGAGAAACUAUCAGAUAUUCCUCCUAUUCCGGAAGGUUUUCUAGCCACCUGCUUAGAGAUUUGACGGACUACCAAUCCAAAUAGCAGUCAAGAAAGAAUCCAAGUUGCAGUCAAGAUAGAUGGAAUGGACUAGGGCGCAAGGAAAGAGAUCCAAAACGAGAGCGAUCAUUCAUUCCCUCUUUCUCUGGCCAAGCUAUUCAACUGUCGACUAUUCUCACUCCCCUGCCUCUGCUAGACUCAACUCACACAUAUCGACUCCACUGGAGAACCUGGGACCGGCACACUCAGUUGAGAUGAAGUCUGUUGACUGCCGUUGAUUUUCUAUGUGCUCAGGUGCUUCAAGGGCGCGACUACCCGAAUAGAGAUUGUCUAAGGGCAAAGGUUCCGCCUCAGGCUUCGAUCACAUGGAGGAGGGUGUUUGUGCUGCAAGGUAAACUCUUUUGGCGGGUCUGAUCUGGCGCAUUGGAGAUGGUUUAAGCACAACAAGUUUGGGUGGACUACUGGAUCCCAAGGUUCGAAGAGAGAGAAAUUCCCUAAUCGGCCUAACUCGAUUGUGAGGGAUCUACGGAAAGCUGAUGGGAAGUCAUGGGAUGAGCAAGUAGUGCGGAAUGUGUGUCUUCGUUGUGAUGCCGACGAUAUCCUUAAGAUAGAUUCUUCUACCACGGGGGAAGCUCCAAGGACUUAAGUAAGCCAACUUCAUCCGGUAUUGAGGAGUCCGUCCCCCAAUUUCCCACGCCUCUUCGUUCUCCCCAUUUAGCUAAGUUAUGAGUUCGCAAAAAAGAAAUCCUCUUCUAGAUCGGGUUGGAGUCGAGUUGCCAACUAAAGGCCCAGUCAAAAUAACCUACUGGGUUGAAGCUACUGGUAUAAGACCCAGCCUGGCAUCUCUACUUGGACUAUCCUUUACGUUACCCGCUUUAAAGUGCCAGUCUUCUCAUCUCGAUAACCAAUCCAGGUAAGAUUAGAUCCAUGCUUAUACGAACUCAAGAAAGUAGCCCUUGCCCUGAACCAGAAUCAAAGCAAACUCAAUCCUCACAACUUAAAGGAGAAACUAGGAAAUAGAGCUAGAUAGGCUCUAUACACGCUCGAAAAAUCAUAGUAAAAUAUAGAAGUGAUGAAUGCUGUGAGUAUUCCUUUCUUCUCCGUAAAAUUAAGUCUAUCAAUCAGUCCUUUUCUGAACUGAUUUCUAUAGCCCUGCUUCCCUCCCGCAAUCAGAGUGAAACUACCAUAAAAGGUUUGUCUUGAAAAGAAAUAGUGCCACUGGCAGCCACUAUAUGAGUGAGAUAGACUUGAUUCUUUCUCUGGCUGUAGAAUUGACAUAGAACUAGUUUUUCUUCCCAAGGCCCAAUUCUUAAUGAUUGAGGAAAUGCACGCUCACAUAAUGGGAAAAUCACGUAUAAUCCUUACGAGAAAUCUCCUACUUUCCUCUCUACAGGGAAGUGCGCCAGUUCGAGAAAUAUUGUUGAUAGAAUGAAUGCUCUUACGCGCUAAUGAAUGAUGACUUAUUUAAAGAAUUUCUUGAUAUCUUGCAGAAUGGUUUUCAUGCUAAUCAGAAUGAAUUUCUACUUAUGCGCUAAGAGAGACUGUGGUGGAAUCAAACCAGUCUCUUGGGAAAAUCAAAUGGAUGGAUCUCUUUGUCAGCUUCUUGUUUGAGAAAAAGAGUAGUGACUCGCUGGAUUGAGAUUUCUAGGAAAAAGAGUUGCGAACGAAAUCCUACACUCCCUGUAGGUAGGGCUGGGCGAGAAAGGGUCCCCUCUGAAGCCUAUAAGUUAGUAAGCAGGCCAAAUAUUCCACCGGGGUCUUUCUUAGCAAACUCAUUGAUGGCAGUACCUAACUAAAGAAGAAUAGCGCUCUUUCUUUCUUUCAAUUACGUUUCUUGAAUGGUUCUGCACUUAGAUCAGUCAGUACACACGAAACCCUUUAAUCAAGUGAGUGCCACUUUAACUCAGCUCUUUCCUAGUGAUCUUGAUUGUCCCUAGAAGCAUCUCUUAUUUUCAUAUAGAAAUUAAAUGGUUUAGUGGAAAAGAGGGAGAUCCGGACUCACUUCUACCAAUCGAAGAUUUUCGUAUUGUAAUUAAACGGAAAUGAUAGUAAGAAAAAAUACUAAAAAUGCAGAAGUUAGGCUUCUUCCGGUUCUAGAGUAGUGGCUUCAAGCUCCAGUCUUAGUUUGACUACAGAAAAAAUAGAAAAAGGCUCCCCGUGGACUCUACGCGGGACUUUUUUUAUUAAACUUACAUAAUUAGAAUUUCUCUGACAUUCCAUGUUGUUAAUUAUGUCUCGUAUGGAACUUGUUUGUUCCAAAUUGUUUGGGAAGUUAUUUUUGGGUUUAAAUUUAAAUCAAAUUCAUCUGGAUAUCUUUUUCUUCCUCAUUCUUAUUUCGGUUUUCGUAUCAUGGAAGUUGGUUCGCGCUUUAUGUCCGCGUUGCCCGGUCUGGGCUGCGCACGUUUUUUACGGCUUUUGUUGUAGCGCGGUGCUGGGGUCUAACAUUACUCCUGCGGAAUGCUCGCCGGGUAACGACCCCGCGCAAAAUGAGGAUCCGUCGGGGUCAGGGGCGGGGGCUACACCACUGGAGGAUAGCUUCUGGGAUGCGCUUCUCCAGGGGGGUGCCAAUAGGCGUGAGAAACAAGUCGCGUCCACAAGUCAAACCCCCGGGGGCUUGACGGAAGGCGGGGAGCAAGCAAGGGCUCAAGCGUCUACUAAUCUGAUGCUUUUAGGCGAUGACGACCUGUCUCGCGCCGUAGCCCCGUAUCUCCCGCAGGGAGGUCAGGCUCCUGUAAAUCUGCCCGAAGGACGACCGCUUACAAUGGGGGAAGAAGAACGGCUAGCCCUAGUCCUUAAUUACCACCAGCACAUCGGCGCUCUUUUAAGAGACCUCGAUGCUACCUCGGUCUUG
RNAcentral lists this long non-coding RNA (8603 nucleotides) under Hordeum vulgare. RNAcentral's name for it is "long non-coding RNA (HVUL_LNC000708)". Lineage: Eukaryota; Viridiplantae; Streptophyta; Magnoliopsida; Poales; Poaceae. The record is from RNAcentral.